AACGAACGCUGGCGGCAUGCCUAACACAUGCAAGUCGAACGAGACCUUCGGGUCUAGUGGCGCACGGGUGAGUAACGUGUGGGAACCUGCCCUUAGGUUCGGAAUAACUCCCCGAAAGGGGUGCUAAUACCGGAUAAUGUCUUCGGACCAAAGAUUUAUCGCCUUUGGAUGGGCCCGCGUUGGGUUAGCUAGUUGGUAGGGUAAAAGCCUACCAAGGCGACGAUCCAUAGCUGGUCUGAGAGGAUGAUCAGCCACACUGGGACUGAGACACGGCCCAGACUCCUACGGGAGGCAGCAGUGGGGAAUAUUGGACAAUGGGCGAAAGCCUGAUCCAGCAAUGCCGCGUGAGUGAUGAAGGCCUUAGGGUUGUAAAGCUCUUUUAACCGGGAUGAUAAUGACAGUACCGGGAGAAUAAGCUCCGGCUAACUCCGUG
This 433-nucleotide ribosomal RNA is filed under the name uncultured bacterium. RNAcentral's name for it is "partial 16S ribosomal RNA". It matches the Rfam family "Bacterial small subunit ribosomal RNA", at positions 29 to 507 of the family's 1533-position model. The record is from RNAcentral.